Long non-coding RNA from Dermochelys coriacea (leatherback sea turtle), 197 nucleotides. RefSeq lists it as uncharacterized. The transcript has 2 exons. The record is from RefSeq and is a predicted model, not a curated record. NCBI's taxonomy places the organism in Eukaryota, Metazoa, Chordata, Testudines, Dermochelyidae.
AUCAACAGGGUGGCUAAAAUGAAGAUUGCAUAAGAACCCCAGACAUGAAUUCCAAGAGUCCCUGUGAAGUAGCUGUGAAUUUGCUGCAAAUGGGAAAAAAAACAGAUUUAAUAUGCUCGUAUUACACAUAUUUACUACCCAUUCUGUAAACUGUUCUUAAGUUAAUUCCCAAUUGAGACUUUUCAUUCAACAGCCAC